GACGAACGCUGGCGGCGUGCCUAAUACAUGCAAGUAGAACGCUGAAGGAGGAGCUUGCUCUUCUUGGAUGAGUUGCGAACGGGUGAGUAACGCGUAGGUAACCUGCCUGGUAGCGGGGGAUAACUAUUGGAAACGAUAGCUAAUACCGCAUAAUAGUAGAUGUUGCAUGACAUUUGCUUAAAAGGUGCAAUUGCAUCACUACCAGAUGGACCUGCGUUGUAUUAGCUAGUUGGUGAGGUAACGGCUCACCAAGGCAACGAUACAUAGCCGACCUGAGAGGGUGAUCGGCCACACUGGGACUGAGACACGGCCCAGACUCCUACGGGAGGCAGCAGUAGGGAAUCUUCGGCAAUGGACGGAAGUCUGACCGAGCAACGCCGCGUGAGUGAAGAAGGGUUUCGGAUCGUAAAGCUCUGUUGUAAGAGAAGAACGAGUGUGAGAGUGGAAAGUUCACACUGUGACGGUAUCUUACCAGAAAGGGACGGCUAACUACGUG
This 496-nucleotide ribosomal RNA is filed under the name uncultured bacterium. RNAcentral's name for it is "partial 16S ribosomal RNA". It matches the Rfam family "Bacterial small subunit ribosomal RNA", at positions 28 to 507 of the family's 1533-position model. The record is from RNAcentral.